RNAcentral lists this ribosomal RNA (629 nucleotides) under Fusarium sacchari. Its description in RNAcentral is "eukaryotic LSU rRNA". It matches the Rfam family "Eukaryotic large subunit ribosomal RNA", at positions 243 to 898 of the family's 3401-position model. Lineage: Eukaryota; Fungi; Ascomycota; Sordariomycetes; Hypocreales; Nectriaceae. The record is from RNAcentral.
UCUGUAAAGUUCCUUCGACGAGUCGAGUAGUUUGGGAAUGCUGCUCUAAAUGGGAGGUAUAUGUCUUCUAAAGCUAAAUACCGGCCAGAGACCGAUAGCGCACAAGUAGAGUGAUCGAAAGAUGAAAAGCACUUUGAAAAGAGAGUUAAAAAGUACGUGAAAUUGUUGAAAGGGAAGCGUUUAUGACCAGACUUGGGCUUGGUUAAUCAUCUGGGGUUCUCCCCAGUGCACUUUCCCAGUCCAGGCCAGCAUCAGUUUUCCCCGGGGGAUAAAGACUUCGGGAAUGUGGCUCUCUUCGGGGAGUGUUAUAGCCCGUUGUGUAAUACCCUGGGGGGGACUGAGGUUCGCGCAUCUGCAAGGAUGCUGGCGUAAUGGUCAUCAACGACCCGUCUUGAAACACGGACCAAGGAGUCGUCUUCGUAUGCGAGUGUUCGGGUGUCAAACCCCUACGCGUAAUGAAAGUGAACGCAGGUGAGAGCUUCGGCGCAUCAUCGACCGAUCCUGAUGUUCUCGGAUGGAUUUGAGUAAGAGCAUACGGGGCCGGACCCGAAAGAAGGUGAACUAUGCCUGUAUAGGGUGAAGCCAGAGGAAACUCUGGUGGAGGCUCGCAGCGGUUCUGACGUGCAAAU